RNAcentral lists this microRNA precursor (98 nucleotides) under Loxodonta africana (African savanna elephant). RNAcentral's name for it is "mir-544 microRNA precursor family". It matches the Rfam family "mir-544 microRNA precursor family". Lineage: Eukaryota; Metazoa; Chordata; Mammalia; Proboscidea; Elephantidae. The record is from Rfam by way of RNAcentral.
AUCACCUGGGAAUCUUGUUAAAAUGCAGAUUUUGAUCUUGUAAGCCUGGACUGGGGCCUGAGAUUCUGCAUUUCUAACAAACUCCCAGGUGAUUCUGG